Molecule: long non-coding RNA, 1136 nt
Filed under: Mytilus galloprovincialis (Mediterranean mussel)
Lineage: Eukaryota; Metazoa; Mollusca; Bivalvia; Mytilida; Mytilidae
Source: RNAcentral
GUCAAUUAUAAUCUACAAAACAUAACACCAUAGAUACUACCUCCUAAAAAAAAGUUAUUUAACAUAAUCAAAAUUGGUUGUUUAUAUCUUUCUGUUUCUAUAAAAUGUGCUGAAAAUCUUUUGGGUUUUAUUGAAAAAUAAUUUGGAUGACUGCAGAACUCCAUAGGCAUUAUAGAAACUGUCGUAAAGUAGCUUUUGUAGGGCAUUUGUUAUCAGAAGUUUUAAAGGUUGUAAGUUGUUUGUGAUAUAUAAUAUAAUGUGCAAUACAAAAGUUUUAUAACGAUUUGUUUUAACAGGUUGCUAAUUUAUCCAUUAUUAUUUUUAUCUCAGAGAACUUUUCACUGCCAAUAUUAGGAAUAGGAAAGGAAUGUGUAGCGCUUUGACUCUAUGGUGCUAAAAUCAUGCAGUUUUUAAAUUUAGAAAAUAUUCAUAGACGAUUUAGGAUUUAAAGACUUCAUAGUAUUUUUACCAUUUGCAUUGUGCUCCCUGAUUGUUAUAUUUUUUUUUUGCAGCUGUGGAAAGAAUUUUAUGAUAUGUAAAUUUUGAUAAGUGAUUUUUGAAAAAAAAUCGGAAUGUCUUAUUCAUAAUUCUUCAUUAUCAACCAGUCAUACAAAUUAAACAAGUUCAUUUAUGGGUAAUAUAAAUGUCAGACGUUGUAAAUUUUAUAAAUCAUUUUGUUUGUCAAUCAUGAAAAACUCUGUUGUAAAAGCAAAGGCAAUGCUUAGUUUGUUUUGAAUUUUGUUUUGUCUUUCAAAUAGUGUACAUUCCUUUCAUUUGCAUUAUAAACCAAAGACACGUUGUGUUAUUCUAUUUAUUAAAAUGUAUCAACCUGUUUAUAAUUUUGUCUGCUGCAAUAUUCAUAUAGCAGAUCUGUAUAGAUAUAAAACCUCAUUUAACCUGUAAAACAUGUUAGAUUCAAUACUUCUAGAUCCAGAACUUACUUGAAAUUUCUUAUGUACAAAUUAGACUAAAUAGCAACACUAGAUGAAACCAAAAAUAGUUCAAAAUUGAGUGCCAUUUUUUGUUAUGCAAAAUGUUUUCUGCUGUACAAACUUGUUAAUCUAUUGUUAAUUUGUUUAUUUAAUUUUUACCCUUUUCUGCUUUUGAUUGGUAAAAUUCUUCUGAAAGUCAGACAU